GAUGAACGCUGGCGGCGUGCCUAAUACAUGCAAGUCGAGCGAACGGACGAGAAGCUUGCUUCUCUGAUGUUAGCGGCGGACGGGUGAGUAACACGUGGAUAACCUACCUAUAAGACUGGGAUAACUUCGGGAAACCGGAGCUAAUACCGGAUAAUAUUUUGAACCGCAUGGUUCAAAAGUGAAAGACGGUCUUGCUGUCACUUAUAGAUGGAUCCGCGCUGCAUUAGCUAGUUGGUAAGGUAACGGCUUACCAAGGCAACGAUGCAUAGCCGACCUGAGAGGGUGAUCGGCCACACUGGAACUGAGACACGGUCCAGACUCCUACGGGAGGCAGCAGUAGGGAAUCUUCCGCAAUGGGCGAAAGCCUGACGGAGCAACGCCGCGUGAGUGAUGAAGGUCUUCGGAUCGUAAAACUCUGUUAUUAGGGAAGAACAUAUGUGUAAGUAACUGUGCACAUCUUGACGGUACCUAAUCAGAAAGCCACGGCUAACUACGUGCCAGCAGCCGCGGUAAUACGUAGGUGGCAAGCGUUAUCCGGAAUUAUUGGGCGUAAAGCGCGCGUAGGGCGGUUUUUUUAAGUCUGAUGUGAAAGCCCACGGCUCAACCGUGGAGGGUCAUUGGAAACUGGAAAACUUGAGUGCAGAAGAGGAAAGUGGAAUUCCAUGUGUAGCGGUGAAAUGCGCAGAGAUAUGGAGGAACACCAGUGGCGAAGGCGACUUUCUGGUCUGUAACUGACGCUGAUGUGCGAAAGCGUGGGGAUCAAACAGGAUUAGAUACCCUGGUAGUCCACGCCGUAAACGAUGAGUGCUAAGUGUUAGGGGGUUUCCGCCCCUUAGUGCUGCAGCUAACGCAUUAAGCACUCCGCCUGGGGAGUACGACCGCAAGGUUGAAACUCAAAGGAAUUGACGGGGACCCGCACAAGCGGUGGAGCAUGUGGUUUAAUUCGAAGCAACGCGAAGAACCUUACCAAAUCUUGACAUCCUUUGACAACUCUAGAGAUAGAGCCUUCCCCUUCGGGGGACAAAGUGACAGGUGGUGCAUGGUUGUCGUCAGCUCGUGUCGUGAGAUGUUGGGUUAAGUCCCGCAACGAGCGCAACCCUUAAGCUUAGUUGCCAUCAUUAAGUUGGGCACUCUAAGUUGACUGCCGGUGACAAACCGGAGGAAGGUGGGGAUGACGUCAAAUCAUCAUGCCCCUUAUGAUUUGGGCUACACACGUGCUACAAUGGACAAUACAAAGGGCAGCGAAACCGCGAGGUCAAGCAAAUCCCAUAAAGUUGUUCUCAGUUCGGAUUGUAGUCUGCAACUCGACUACAUGAAGCUGGAAUCGCUAGUAAUCGUAGAUCAGCAUGCUACGGUGAAUACGUUCCCGGGUCU
RNAcentral lists this ribosomal RNA (1374 nucleotides) under uncultured bacterium. Its description in RNAcentral is "bacterial SSU rRNA". It matches the Rfam family "Bacterial small subunit ribosomal RNA", at positions 28 to 1381 of the family's 1533-position model. The record is from RNAcentral.